Molecule: ribosomal RNA, 24 nt
Filed under: Russula aurantioflammans
Lineage: Eukaryota; Fungi; Basidiomycota; Agaricomycetes; Russulales; Russulaceae
Description: partial 18S ribosomal RNA
Source: RNAcentral
UAGGUGACCUGCGGAAGGAUAUUA